UUGGUGAAGAUUCUACUUAUCUGUUGAGAUUUAGGUGAGAUAUUGUGUAUAAUGUAUUUCAACUGUUGCAUUAUUCCACAGGAGAAGUGACUCUAGCAGAGGCAGAGAGCUCCAAGGGUACAAGCAGAAAGGUUUCUGUGCCCAGACGAAGGAUAACUGUAAAAAGGCCAUGGAGCACAAAAGAAGUCAGUGCUGUUAUGAAGCAUUUCAAAAGUGACAUUUCCAAGGGAAUUCUCACAACAAAGACAGAAUGUAAGCAGUGUAAAGUUGCAGAGGAUCCUGUUCUAAGAGAAAGAACAAUUCAAAAUAUUAGAGAUUUUGUGAGAAACAGAGGUUUGAUGUUGAAAAAAAAAGUUGAAGGGGAGAUUAGUAUGCAUUGUGCAGUAGAGUUUGUUCUGUUCAAGACUGACUAGGGUUGACCCCUGAUAUUAUAUCCAAUUUUAAUGUUCAUUCACUUUGGAGGGAUGCAUUAGACAUCCAGUUAUUUUUCUUUUUUGUUGCCUUAAUUUAGAGCUAAUAGCUGUAGCUGCCCAAAAUGGUAUUCAUGGAGCCUAAGUGUGACCCAGUGGAUUAAAGGAACAGCUGAGUGGACAACAGUUUAUGGAAGCAAUAAAAUAUUGUAAUGAAUUAUU
Molecule: long non-coding RNA, 632 nt
Organism: Sphaeramia orbicularis (orbiculate cardinalfish)
Lineage: Eukaryota; Metazoa; Chordata; Actinopteri; Kurtiformes; Apogonidae
Exons: 2
Source: RefSeq, a predicted model, not a curated record